Drosophila novamexicana is the source of this 1306-nucleotide long non-coding RNA. RefSeq lists it as uncharacterized. The transcript is spliced from 5 exons. The record is from RefSeq and is a predicted model, not a curated record. NCBI's taxonomy places the organism in Eukaryota, Metazoa, Arthropoda, Insecta, Diptera, Drosophilidae.
AAUAAAUUCUAAAAUAAGUCUAAAUUAAAAUUUAAAUAGGAAAAGCCAGGGAAAAAGUCAUUGCAUGUGAAGUAUUUUAAAUGUGUUGCAACUUCAACUGCAACGCCGGCUAGCUGCCAGCUGCUGUCCUACCCAGCCGGCCGGCGGCGCGCCAUACCAGCGACAUGGACACUGACAUCGACGCUGUUGACAAGAACGUCGUGUCUCUGUCGACGUUUACGUCUUUCUCUCUAACCCACUCAGCCCUCCUCUACACACCGUUUCUGUACUGGUAUCUGCAAACGCAAAAUUUGUGCGCUUUUUGCGUGAAAAAUGAUGGAAAAUAAUUUGCAAACGUUGAAGACUUAAAGCAAACUCAAAGUUGAGCCCGAACGUGCUUUUGAUGUGGCCAUUUGCUGCACGUUUUUGCCCAGGGAUACCCUCGACGUUGGUUACCUGUUUGCCUAGCCCAGCUAUGCUUGUGUUUACUCUUUGCCGUGGCACACGCUUCCUCUGGGUCUAUUCCGCGUUUCUGUGUAUUUAGGUGAAAUUUAUUUAACUAAUUAUUAUGUAAGCGCUCGAGCUACGAGCGCUGUGUAAUGAAAUUAAAGCUUUUUUCCAGAUCUGUCAAAUGCGCAGCUGUUUUGUGCAGGCUCAACUAAUACUCUGUGAAAUACAUAUAUGAGAACAACAGCAAUCGCAAUAAAUUUAUACAUGCAACGAAAAUAAGAGAUCAACAGCAAAAUGCGAGCACAAAUUUUUAUAUAGCACUCUGGGGAUAAUCAGCAGCAACAGCAACAACAACAGUCAGCAGCAGCAGCAGCUAAUGUAAAGUCCAACGCAGACACAUAAAAAUGAGAAUUUAUGCAGCUCGGAAAAGUAGUUACCGCAGGGAUAUGGCCAAAGGGGCGUGGCCCAGCCCAAUGGGCGCUCAAUGAAGCAGGUGACGCAGGUGACGCUUUGGAUUUGUGACUGCGGAACAAAAAAUAUAAAUAAAUAAGAAAAAACAAUAGCAACAAGAGCCAUAAACAAGCGUGACGCACAUGUCUCCUCUUGAAAAAACUCAACUUUGGUUUAUUGAAACACACACACACACAAAAGUGAACAACACAAUUAUUGCCACAUUUUUAAGCACUGUCAAUAAAAAACUUUGUACUUCACUGCACUAUAAAAUGCAGUUAAAUGCUGCAUUCAAUAGCACCUACCAACAAUUUAGUGCAGCUUACAUGUACAUGGAAUGCGCAGAAUUUUUAAAUUGAGAAAUGGUAUUUCAAUUAUGGAAAAGGUAAUAUUGCAAAUUCGAAGAAUUGCUGGCAAAGAAAAAUAC